RNAcentral lists this ribosomal RNA (279 nucleotides) under uncultured bacterium. Its description in RNAcentral is "partial 16S ribosomal RNA". It matches the Rfam family "Bacterial small subunit ribosomal RNA", at positions 506 to 784 of the family's 1533-position model. The record is from RNAcentral.
UGCCAGCCGCCGCGGUAAUACGGAGGGGGUUAGCGUUGUUCGGAAUUACUGGGCGUAAAGCGCGCGUAGGCGGACUGUUAAGUCAGGGGUGAAAUCCCGGGGCUCAACCCCGGAACUGCCCUUGAUACUGGUAGUCUUGAGUUCGAGAGAGGCGAGUGGAAUUCCGAGUGUAGAGGUGAAAUUCGUAGAUAUUCGGAGGAACACCAGUGGCGAAGGCGGCUUUCUGGACCAAUACUGACGCUGAGAUGCGAAAGCGUGGGGAGCGAACAGGAUUAGAUA